CAUGUAUAUAUAUAUGUAUGAUGUGUGUAUAUAUAUUCCAACAAACUCCAUUCAUCUCAACAGGACCACUAGUACUCACCUAAAAUAUUACCUUUUGUGUGAGCCUUCUAACUUUUUUUUUCACAGUUACUUUCUUUUUAUAUAUUUUAGUCCUAUUAAUAGAACCAAGAAGAUGAUGGAUCUUCAUAUUGUGCUUUCUUCAUCUAUUUCACACUUUAUUAUUAUUCCUAUUUAUCUAUAUUCUCCCUUCUAUUAAUGCUUUUAUCAUUUUUCCUUUUUCAGGUCAAUUUAAUACAUACUUUUAUAUUUUUCUCUGUUUAUAUUAGGUUGUUUUUUCUUUAAUAAAUAUAUUCUGAACUAAUAAAUCUUUACGAAAGUGUUUUUUUUUUUUAUUUUGGAGAGAGUGAGAGGACUAGGAAAGUGUAUUUAUUUUGGGUUGCUUAAUAUAUAUGAAGCUUGCUUUGGAAAGAUAAUAUAUAUAAAUGGGAGCAUAGAGUUUUGUUUUUGUUUUUGUUUUUGUUCUGGGAGUCCAGUAUAGUCGAGCAUAACAACAGAUUCUUCCUUCGAAGUAAUCACUUUAGGUUUCAGCCACUCAUAAGAUGCCAAGUCAGCUUUUACCCGUGGGCUUCCUGCUCAUUUUGGCUUAUUAUUGAUUAUAUUAUAAUUUCUUAAUCCAUAUCUCUCUUGUUUAUUUAUUAAUAAUUUAUGUUUUCUACUUGAAGGAUAUAUUUUCUCUUGUUAUAAGCUUCACAUUUUCUGGCUUCAAUACACCCCAAAUAUAUAUACAUAAAUAUCUGUAGAUGAGAAGGGAUUCUGCGGUCAUUGUUUGCUGGUGUGGCAUCAUCAAGAUUCACAUAUACAACAUAUAAAAGUGAACCCCGGCUCCUAACCGAGAGAUUUUGGCCCUAAUAAUCAAUCCUUAGUUUCUCGGCGGGCGCCGAAGUUGUGUGGUUACUGAGAAUCUUGAUGAUGCUGCAUCGGCAAUGAAUUGAUGACCAUACAAAGAUUCAAGUGUGCCCUUUGCCCUUUCAUCGACUGGGUUUCGACUGAUGAUGAUCCUCUUUUGUUUUUGUUUUUGUUUUUCCAUCUUUACCUUCAAUCAUCUUGAUUCAUCACUUGGUUAAUUUAUCAGGUUAGUUUUACCUUAUUAUUAUUUUAUUUUAUUUUCUUUUCUUGUUAUAUUAUUUUUUAUUAUUAUUAUGUGUUGUUCGUCAGGUCUUUCAUGGGAUUGAUCUCAACCAGAUAAGUUCGGUAUAGUAAGCUGACUAGGUAAUGGCAGAUCUGUAAUUAUUGGUUUAGGAAAUUUUAUUGCUUAGAUUGAAAUGGCAUCUUUUUAAGAGUACUGAGCUUUUGAUCGAGAUAGAGAGAUGUGACUUUUUCAGGAACAGGAAAAGGAGAAUCUUGGUGAUGAUAUGCGAACAACCCUUAAAAACAAAAUGGAAAUAGAAAAACAUAAACUUUUAUACAUAAGCUUGACGGUGUACUAUUUUUUAUAUAUUGUUAUUAAUGCUUCCAGAUCCAUAAACCAUUUUUUGUGGAUACAUUCGAUCGGAAAAGAUCUAUUAUUUAAAGUAGUUCAUAGGUUUAUUUUUUAUUUUUGUUUUCUUUUAAAAAAGAACUUUUUUUUUUGUAAGUUUUAAAAAAAAGAACUUAGUCCUAUUAUUUGUUUUUAUAUAUUUGAGUUUCUUCAAUUUUUUUUUUAUGAAUUGAUGAGGAGACCAAAGAAUAUUUCUUGAACCUGAUAUCAAGGUAAUAAUGUGACACUGUUAGACAUUAUUGAUAAAGUUAUUAAUUACAUGAAAUUUUAGGUUUGGGAGUUAAUUUUGGUUUGUCUUAGAAUGAAUUUUAUUAUUCUAUAUAUACAUUCUCUCGUUCCCACCAUCUUUUGUCUUCAUCUCUAUAUGGUUCAAAACAAUGUUAAUUGUUUUAUAGACAAUAAUCUAGGAAGAGGUUUUGCUGAGUGGAAUUUAGCAGAUCAUUGAAAACUGGAUUUCUUUUAUUUCUAUUAAUUUUUUUAUUUUUUUUUAAAAAAUAAUACACUUUGCAAGAAUAUUUAGGCAAACGUCAUUUGUUUGUAUGGAAAAUAUUAACCAGUAGUCAUAAGAUCUAGUCAUCUUUCAGUCUUGUGGUGGACCAACCAUAGAAAGACAUAUAUAGACAUUGCAACUUAUUGGACCCAACUGAUACAUAUAAAUCAUCACUCUCUCUCUUUCUCUCUCUUUUCUUCUCUCUCCCCACCUAUUUUUCACCCUCUUCAAUAAUAGUACUACCUGAAAAAGAAAAUUAAUUUUCCUAAAAAAUUAAAUCAUAAAAUAAUAAUUUUCUUCAGUAUUAUUCAUGACAGUGAUAAUUCAUUGGAUCUGAUCAAGAUAUUUUGGAGACCUGCGUGCCUCUUUGAUCACCAUAUAUUCAAGCCUUGAUUUGCCUACUAUGGCCAUCCCAUUUGUGGGUUGAAACUACUUGAAAGAGAGAAGUCACACCCAUGAUGUUGAACUCCGUACGUUGUACAGAGUAUUUAUGUAAACCUCGAAGUUAGCAUAAAUGUUCCUGCUGGCCCGUACGUAAAACGGACCUACUCCUGUUCGGCUACAUUUGAUCCUACGUACAUUUAUAACUCUCCCCAUGUAUAUUGCCCAUUGCCCAAUAUAUAUCAUAUGUGUCCAGGUUCGGCCGCUUCACACUUCAUUACUACUUAUUCUAUACAACAUUGAAAAUUUACUUCUUUUAAAUUGACUCAGUUCACCAUACUUUUGACAUCAGAUCGACCGAUCGAUACGGACAUUUCAAAACAGAAGAUUGGUAUUAUAUGGGUAUUGAUAAUAAACCUCUAAUAUUCAUGUACAUUUGAGAUUAAAGUAAUUGUCCAAUGCCAUGGCUUUAAAUUCAUACAACUUAAGUUGUAUGAAUUUAAAGCCAUGGAAUUGGACAAUUACUUUAAUAAUCUCAAAUGUACAUAAAUGUUAUUACACACACUCGAUAUAUCUGGUACUAUA
This is a long non-coding RNA of Cannabis sativa, 2993 nucleotides long. RefSeq lists it as uncharacterized. The record is from RefSeq and is a predicted model, not a curated record. NCBI's taxonomy places the organism in Eukaryota, Viridiplantae, Streptophyta, Magnoliopsida, Rosales, Cannabaceae. The transcript has 3 exons.